CAUUCAAAUCAGCAUCAGCCACAAUGUAAAUAUUUAUGACCCCUCAAGUGGAACCAACUGUUUUCAUAAACACCAAAGUUAAACUCACCUAUCUGAUAUAAGAGAAUAGAAAGAGGUAAAGUAGGUUUACAACCUACUAUAUUACACUGUAGUUCCCAAGUAACUUAAUACCCUUGCAGAACAAAUCACAGGUCAGAACACUCCUUCCAGGCGGGUCAUUUGAACAGAAAGCAUUGAAAAGUGACUAACUGCUUAAAAGUUAUAACUUGAAAAAUUAUGUUUGAGCAUUGGAUAUUAGAUCAAAUGAGUUUAAACUGGACAAAUUUACAAAAGUUUUCUGGAAAUAUGAACUUUUAAACAUGUGUAUUUCAUGAUUCAGUGAAAAUGGAGGGAACUACAUGUAUAUCAUUGUAUAUAUAACCAUUUCUAACAGUUGCAAACUUUCAAGUCUUGGAGUCACAUGAGAUGUUUCCUCUCAAGGAUAUCAGAUCAGGGAAAAUGAAUAAAUGUACUGUUGAAUACAGAAUGCUUACAGAACUAUCCUGUAUCCAUCAGAGAGGUCACACCACAAGUCAAGAAGAUGUUGCAUCAUGCGAAGUGAAGGAUUAUAUACAUGUGUUCAAGAUGGAUGUUAAAUUACAUUUGUUUGAAUAAAACACUCUGACUUCAAAAUAAUUGUGAAA
Molecule: long non-coding RNA, 683 nt
Organism: Ruditapes philippinarum (Manila clam)
Lineage: Eukaryota; Metazoa; Mollusca; Bivalvia; Venerida; Veneridae
Exons: 3
Source: RefSeq, a predicted model, not a curated record